ACAGCAACAGACAAAACUUUAUUCAGACACACUGAUGAUGACGGAACAAACUGGUUCAAACGCCGUGACUGACUUUUCUUCCAAUCAAAAUCAUUCUGAGUCUGUUUCUGGUCAGCUGAUUGGUUGUUCACUCUGAGGUCAUAAAGACAGCACCAACGGAGCUCUGACACUACGAGUCACCAUGACAACAGGUAGAUCAGACUCAACAUGGUAGUGUGGUUUCUGUUGUUGCUGUCUCGUAGCUGAGGCUGCUGUUGUUUCUGUUUGGUUGCUGUGUGGUGACUGUGUAGUUGUUGUGUGGUUGCUGUUGUUGCUAUGUAGUUGCAGUUGUUGAUGCCUGGUUGUUGUGUGAGUACUGUGGGGUUACUGCUGUUGCUGUGUGGUUGCUAAAGUUGCUGUGUGGUUGCUGAAGUUGCUGUGUGGUUGCUAAAGUUGCUGUGUGGUUGCUAAAGUUGCUGUGUGGUUGCUGAAGUUGCUGUGUGGUUGCUGAAGUUGCUGUGUGGUUGCUGAAGUUGCUGUGUGGUUGCUGAAGUUGCUGUGUGGUUGCUGAAGUUGCUGUGUGGUUGCUAAAGUUGCUGUGUGGUUGCUAAAGUUGCUGUGUGGUUGCUGAAGUUGCUGUGUGGUUGCUGAAGUUGCUGUGUGGUUGCUGAAGUUGCUGUGUGGUUGCUAAAGUUGCUGUGUGGUUGCUGAAGUUGCUGUGUGGUUGCUGAAGUUGCUGUGAGGUUGCUGAAGUUGCUGUGUGGUUGCUGAAGUGCUGUGUGGUUGCUGAAGUUGCUGUGAGGUUGCUGAAGUUGCUGUGUGGUUGCUGAAGUUGCUGUGUGGUUGCUGAAGUUGCUGUGAGGUUGCUGAAGUUGCUGUGUGGUUGCUGAAGUGCUGUGUGGUUGCUGAAGUUGCUGUGAGGUUGCUGAAGUUGCUGUGUGGUUGCUGAAGUUGCUGUGUGGUUGCUGAAGUUGCUGUGAGGUUGCUAAAGUUGCUGUGUGGUUGCUGAAGUUGCUGUGUGGUUGCUGAAGUUGCUGUGAGGUUGCCAUCGUUGCCUCUCACCUGAAGCUCUACUUGCUGUGGCUCUGAUGCUGCUGCUGCUGCUGAGCCUGAUGUUGCCGGGCGUAGUGGUGAUGUGGGCUG
Acanthochromis polyacanthus (spiny chromis) is the source of this 1122-nucleotide long non-coding RNA. RefSeq lists it as uncharacterized. The transcript has 4 exons. The record is from RefSeq and is a predicted model, not a curated record. NCBI's taxonomy places the organism in Eukaryota, Metazoa, Chordata, Actinopteri, Pomacentridae.